UUAUGGACUCUUAAAAUGCUUCAACUGGAAAACUAUGAAACAGCUGUAUGACAUCUUGCAAUCCUGUAAAAACACUUCACCGUUCAUGAAUUUUCUAGCUAAUGUGGCAUCAGUAACAGAAGAAAAUUAUGCUCUUUCAAACCCUGGCUCAGGCUUCCUCCUCCCCUUCAAGGAGAGGAGGGGUCCUGAUGGAUGACGCUCUCCAGGAGCUCCACGUGACGUCCGGUGACAGCACAGUCUGAAGA
This is a long non-coding RNA of Nycticebus coucang (slow loris), 245 nucleotides long. RefSeq lists it as uncharacterized. The record is from RefSeq and is a predicted model, not a curated record. Lineage: Eukaryota; Metazoa; Chordata; Mammalia; Primates; Lorisidae. The transcript has 3 exons.